This 468-nucleotide ribosomal RNA is filed under the name uncultured bacterium. Its description in RNAcentral is "bacterial SSU rRNA". It matches the Rfam family "Bacterial small subunit ribosomal RNA", at positions 28 to 506 of the family's 1533-position model. The record is from RNAcentral.
GAUGAACGCUGGCGGCGUGCUUAACACAUGCAAGUCGAACGGUGAAGGCGGAGCUUGCUCUGCUGGAUCAGUGGCGAACGGGUGAGUAACACGUGAGCAAUCUGCCCCUGACUCUGGGAUAAGCGCUGGAAACGGCGUCUAAUACUGGAUACGAGCUGCGAAGGCAUCUUCAGCAGCUGGAAAGAACUUCGGUCAGGGAUGAGCUCGCGGCCUAUCAGCUUGUUGGUGAGGUAAUGGCUCACCAAGGCGUCGACGGGUAGCCGGCCUGAGAGGGUGACCGGCCACACUGGGACUGAGACACGGCCCAGACUCCUACGGGAGGCAGCAGUGGGGAAUAUUGCACAAUGGGCGCAAGCCUGAUGCAGCAACGCCGCGUGAGGGACGACGGCCUUCGGUUGUAACCGUCUUUAGCUAGGGAAGAAGACGAAGUGACGGUACCUGCAAGAAAAGCGACCGGCUAACGUACGU